Molecule: ribosomal RNA, 253 nt
Filed under: uncultured bacterium
Lineage: Bacteria
Description: partial 16S ribosomal RNA
Rfam family: Bacterial small subunit ribosomal RNA
Source: RNAcentral
UACGGGGGGGGCAAGCGUUGUUCGGAAUUACUGGGCGUAAAGGGCUCGUAGGCGGCCAACUAAGUCAGACGUGAAAUCCCUCGGCUUAACCGGGGAACUGCGUCUGAUACUGGAUGGCUUGAGUUUGGGAGAGGGAUGCAGAAUUCCAGGUGUAGCGGUGAAAUGCGUAGAUAUCUGGAGGAAUACCGGUGGCGAAGGCGGCAUCCUGGACCGGCAUUGACGCUGAUGAGCGAAAGCUAGGGGAGCAAACGGG